GGAUAACCUGCCCUAAGGAAGGGGAUAACCCCGGGAAACUGGGGAUAAUACCCUAUAGGUUACAGGUGCUGGAAUGCUUUGUAACCCAAAGUUCCGACGCCUUAGGAUGGAUCUGCGGCCGAUUAGGUUGUUGUUGGGGUAACGGCCCAACAAGCCAGUAAUCGGUACGGGUUGUGGGAGCAAGAGCCCGGAGUUGGAUUCUGAGACACGAAUCCAGGCCCUACGGGGCGCAGCAGGCGCGAAAACUUUACAAUGCGGGCAACCGUGAUAAGGGAACCUCGAGUGCCUGUAUAUGCAGGCUGUCCAGGUGUCUAAAAAACACCUGAAGAAAGGGCCGGGCAAGACCGGUGCCAGCCGCCGCGGUAACACCGGCGGCUCGAGUGGUAACCGCUAUUAUUGGGUCUAAAGGGUCUGUAGCCGGCCGACUAAGUCUCUUGGGAAAUCUGGCAUCUCAAGUGUCAGGCUGCCAGGGGAUACUGGUCGGCUUGGGACCGGGAGAGGUGAGAGGUACCUCGGGGGUAGGGGUGAAAUCUUGUAAUCCUCGAGGGACCACCAGUGGCGAAGGCGUCUCACCAGAACGGAUCCGACGGCAAGGGACGAAAGCUAGGGGCACGAACCGGAUUAGAUACCCGGGUAGUCCUAGCCGUAAACGAUACUCGCUAGGUGUCGGCCACGGUGCGACCGUGGUCGGUGCCGUAGGGAAGCCGUGAAGCGAGCCACCUGGGAAGUACGGCCGCAAGGCUGAAACUUAA
RNAcentral lists this ribosomal RNA (752 nucleotides) under uncultured archaeon. RNAcentral describes it as "bacterial SSU rRNA". It matches the Rfam family "Archaeal small subunit ribosomal RNA", at positions 102 to 859 of the family's 1478-position model. The record is from RNAcentral.